RNAcentral lists this ribosomal RNA (1346 nucleotides) under uncultured bacterium. RNAcentral's name for it is "bacterial SSU rRNA". It matches the Rfam family "Bacterial small subunit ribosomal RNA", at positions 28 to 1381 of the family's 1533-position model. The record is from RNAcentral.
GACGAACGCUGGCGGCGUGCUUAACACAUGCAAGUCGAACGGAAAGGCCCUGCUUUUGUGGGGUGCUCGAGUGGCGAACGGGUGGGUAACACGUGAGUAACCUGCCCUUGACUUUGGGAUAACUUCAGGAAACUGGGGCUAAUACCGGAUAGGAGCUCCUGCUGCAUGGUGGGGGUUGGAAAGUUUCGGCGGUUGGGGAUGGACUCGCGGCAUAUCAGCUUGUUGGUGGGGUAGUGGCUUACCAAGGCUUUGACGGGUAGCCGGCCUGAGAGGGUGACCGGCCACAUUGGGACUGAGAUACGGCCCAGACUCCCACGGGAGGCAGCAGUGGGGAAUAUUGCACAAUGGGCGGAAGCCCGAUGCAGCAACGCCGCGUGCGGGAUGACGGCCUUCGGGUUGUAAACCGCUUUCGCCUGUGACGAAGCGUGAGUGACGGUAAUGGGUAAAGAAGCACCGGCUAACUACGUGCCAGCAGCCGCGGUGAUACGUAGGGUGCGAGCGUUGUCCGGAUUUAUUGGGCGUAAAGGGCUCGUAGGUGGUUGAUCGCGUCGGAAGUGUAAUCUUGGGGCUUAACCCUGAGCGUGCUUUCGAUACGGGUUGACUUGAGGAAGGUAGGGGAGAAUGGAAUUCCUGGUGGAGCGGUGGAAUGCGCAGAUAUCAGGAGGAACACCAGUGGCGAAGGCGGUUCUCUGGGCCUUUCCUGACGCUGAGGAGCGAAAGCGUGGGGAGCGAACAGGCUUAGAUACCCUGGUAGUCCACGCUGUAAACGGUGGGUACUAGGUGUGGGGUCCAUUCCACGGGUUCCGUGCCGUAGCUAACGCUUUAAGUACCCCGCCUGGGGAGUACGGCCGCAAGGCUAAAACUCAAAGGAAUUGACGGGGCCCCGCACAAGCGGCGGAGCAUGCGGAUUAAUUCGAUGCAACGCGUAGAACCUUACCUGGGUUUGACAUGGAUCGGGAGCGCUCAGAGAUGGGUGUGCCUCUUUUGGGGUCGGUUCACAGGUGGUGCAUGGCCGUCGUCAGCUCGUGUCGUGAGAUGUUGGGUUAAGUCCCGCAACGAGCGCAACCCUUGUUCACUGUUGCCAGCACGUUAUGGUGGGGACUCAGUGGAGACCGCCGGGGUCAACUCGGAGGAAGGUGGGGAUGACGUCAAGUCAUCAUGCCCCUUAUGUCCAGGGCUUCACGCAUGCUACAAUGGCUGGUACAGAGAGUGGCGAGCCUGUGAGGGUGAGCGAAUCUCGGAAAGCCGGUCUCAGUUCGGAUUGGGGUCUGCAACUCGACCUCAUGAAGUCGGAGUCGCUAGUAAUCGCAGAUCAGCAACGCUGCGGUGAAUACGUUCCCGGGGCU